AGAGUUUGAUCAUGGCUCAGGACGAACGCUGGCGGCGCGCUUAAUACAUGCAAGUCGAGCGAGAACCGGACCUUCGGGUCCGGGGAAAGCGGCGAACGGGUGAGUAACACGUGGGUAAUCUGCCCUCGGCACUGGGAUAGCCCGGGGAAACCCGGAUUAAUACCGGAUGGCCUCUCGAGCUCUCGAGCUCGUGAGAAAAGGUGGCUUCGGCUUCCGGCUGAGGAUGAGCCCGCGGCGGAUUAGCUUGUUGGUGAGGUAAUGGCUCACCAAGGCUCCGAUCCGUAGCUGGUCUGAGAGGACGAUCAGCCACACUGGGACUGAGACACGGCCCAGACUCCUACGGGAGGCAGCAGUAGGGAAUCUUGCGCAAUGGGCGAAAGCCUGACGCAGCGACGCCGCGUGCGGGAAGAAGGCCUUCGGGUUGUAAACCGCUUUCAGGAGGGACGAAGCUACUCGGGUUAAUAGCCCAGAGGGUGACGGUACCUCCAGAAGAAGCCCCGGCUAACUACGUGCCAGCAGCCGCGGUA
RNAcentral lists this ribosomal RNA (527 nucleotides) under uncultured Actinomycetes bacterium. Its description in RNAcentral is "bacterial SSU rRNA". It matches the Rfam family "Bacterial small subunit ribosomal RNA", at positions 8 to 522 of the family's 1533-position model. The record is from RNAcentral. Lineage: Bacteria; Bacillati; Actinomycetota; Actinomycetes.